Molecule: RNA transcript, 3189 nt
Organism: Sapajus apella (tufted capuchin)
Lineage: Eukaryota; Metazoa; Chordata; Mammalia; Primates; Cebidae
Gene name: moesin pseudogene
Exons: 1
Source: RefSeq, a predicted model, not a curated record
AGGACCCAAUCUGAGUCCCUGGCCACCUGAAUCUGAGCCGUGUGUACUGCGUGCUCAGCACUGCCUGACAGUCCUAGCUAAACUUCACUAACUCCCCUGCCUUUGCUGCCACCAUGCCCAAAAUGAUCAAUGUGCGUGUGACCACCAUGGAUGCAGAGCUGGAGUUUGCCAUCCAUCCCAACACCACUGGCAAGAAGCUAUUUGACCAGGUGGUGAAAACUAUUGGCUUGAGGGAAGUUUGAUUUUUUGGUCUGCAGUAUCAGGACACGAAAGGUUUCUCCACCUGGCUGAAACUCAAUAAUGUGACUGCCCAGGAUAUGCGGAAGGAAAGCCCCCUGCUCUUUAAGUUCCAUGCCAAGUUCUACACUGAGGAUGUGUCCAAGGACUUGAUCCAGGACAUCACUCAGCCCCUGUUCUUUCUGCAAGUGAAAGAUGUCAUUCUCAAUGAUAUGUACUGCCCACCUGAGACUGCUGUGCUGCUGGCUUUAUAUGCUGUCCAGUCUAAGUAUGCUGACUUCAAUAAGGAGGUGCAUACAUCUGGCUACCUGGCUGGAGAAAAGUUGCUGCUGCAGAGAUUCUUGGAACAGCACAAACUCAACAGAGACCAGUGGGAGGAGCCGAUCCAUGUGUGGCAUGAGGAACACUGCGGCAUUCUCAGGGAGGUUGUUGUCCUGGAAUAUCUGAAGAUUGCUCAAGAUCUGGAGAUGUAUGAUGUGAACUAUUUCAGCAUCAAGAACAAGCAAGGCUCAGAGCUGUGGCUGGGGGUGGAUGCCUUGGAUCUCAACAUCUAUGAGCAGAAUGACAGGCUGACUCCCAAGAUAAGCUUCCCUUGGAGUGAAAUCAGGAACAUUUUUCAAUGAUAAGAAAUUUGUCAUCAAGCCCAUUGACAAAAAAGCCCUGGACUUCGUCUUCUAUGCUCCUGGCUGCAGAUUAACAAGCAAAUCUUGGCCUUGAGCAUGGGGAACCAUGAACUGUACAUGCACCAUUGCAAGCUGACACCACUGAGGUGCAGCAGAUGAAGGCACAGGCCCGGGAGGAGAAGCACCAGAAGCAGAUGGAGCGUGCUAUGCUGGAAAAAUGAGAAGAAGAAGUGUGAAAUAGCAGAAAAAGAGAAAGAGAAGAUUGAAUGGAAGAAGGAGGAGCUAAUGGAGAACCUGAAGCAGAUUGAGGAACAGACUAAGAAGGCUCAGCAAGAACUGGAAGAAUAGACCCAUAGGGCUCUGGAAGUUGAGCAGGAAUGGAAGUGUGCCCAGAGUGAGGCUGAAAAGCUGGCCAAGGAUCAUCAAGAAGCUGAAGAGGUCAAGCAGACCUUGCUGCAAGCCUCCCAGGAGCAGAAAAAGACUCAAGCACAGCCGGUCUUGGAAAUGGCAGAGCUGACAGCUCAAAUCUCCCAGCUGGAGAUGGCCCAACAGAAGAAGGAGAGUGAGGCUGUGGAGUGGUAGCAGAAGGCCUAUAUAGUACAGGAAGACUUGGAGAAGACCCAUGCUGAGCUAAAGAUGGCCACGAGUACACCUCAUGUGGCAGAGUCUGCUGAGAAUGAGCUGGAUGAGCAGGAUGAGAAUGGGGCAGAGGCUAGUGAUGACCUACGGGCUGAUGCUAUGGCCAAGGACUGCAGUGAGGAGGAAUGUAUCACUGAGGUGGAGAAGAAUGAGCAUGCAGAAGCACCUGAAGGCCCUCACUUCAGAGCUGGCCAAUGCCCGAGAUGAGUCCAAGAAGACUGCCAAGGACAUGAUCCAUGCUGAGAAUAUGCAACUGGGCUGAAACAAAUACAAGACCCUGUGCCAGAUCCGGCAGGGCAACACUAAGCAGCACAUUGAUGAAUUUGAGUCCAUGUAAUGGGCACCCAGCCUCUAGGGACUCCUCCUCCCUUUUUCCUUGCCCCUGCACUCUUACACCUAACUUACCUAACUCAUGAUGUGCUGGAGCCACUAACUAGAGCAGCCCCAAAGUCAUGCCAAGCGUUUAGUGUAGCCAUGGGACCAAACCUAGCCUCUCAGCCCCCACCCACUUCCCUGAGCAAAUGAAUGGCUCACUAUGUUGCCAAUGGAACCUCCUUUCUCUUCUCUGUUCCAUUUAAUCUAUCUUGCUAGAAUAUCCCACUUCCCCAGCCCAGAGGUACUUUCCAUUUGAUUUUGCAAACACCCUUACACUUACUGUUGCCCCAUGGAAGUCAAGUAUGGAGUAGGUUGGAAGCUUGCUCCCCUCCCCUCCCCUGCCACUGCCUUCUUCUUCAGUGUCUUGAGAUUUACAGGGUUGGAAUAUUACAGGGUUUAGGGAAUGAGACAGGACCUUGGCUACCUGCUCUAGGAUGUCAACUGACCUAGAAUUUGGCCUCCCAAUGUCUAUCCCUUUUAGAGUUAUUUGGAUAUUGUAAUGAUUGGAGGAUAAAGAGAUGUUUAGUCACUUUUGUUUCUAAGUCCCAGAUUGGGCCUGUUAAAUACUCAUCCUCAAUAAGUCUUGUCAUUGACUUUAGGGACUCAGUUUCUCCCCAGGGUGGAUGGGGGAAACAGUGCCUUCAAGAGGCUUCACCAAACGUACUAGAAGGGUAUUCACCAUUCUAUUCUGGCAAGGCUGAGUAGAAGAUCCUACCCCAAUUUCUUAAAGGAGUAUAACCCUGUCUAAAGUGAACUCUAUGGGCAGAGCUACCCCUUACUUAUUAUUUCAGAUCUGUGGUCACUUUGUGGGAUCUGUCCCUCCCAGCUUCAGUACCCAAAUCCUCUUCAGCUAGAACAGUAGGGAUGAGUACCCAAAAGCCCAGCCAGCCCCAUCAGGACUCUUGUGAAAAGAGAGGAUAUGUUCACACCUGGCUUCAGUAUUUUCCCUGCCAGGGGUUUUAGGUCACUUCCCCUCUCAGAGCUACUUGGGCCACAGCUCCUGCUCCAAAGCCAUUCUGGCCUUGGCAUCUAGAGCUUGAUGCCAGUAGGCUCAACUAGGGAGUAUGUGGAAGAAGCUGAGUAUAGUGAGAAGCCUGUGCCCCUGAUUCCAGUUUAUUCAGCUCUCUAAUGUGCCCCAAAUCCCCUUCUCAUCACUCCCCUCCAAAGUGGUGACUGGGCCCUGCCUCUGUUUGACAAACCUCUAACCCAGGUCUUGACACCAGAUGUUCUGCCUCUUGGAGGUGUAAACCAGAGAGCUGCUGGGGAUUCUGGCCUAGUCCCUUCCACACCCACACCCCUGCUCUCAACCCAGGAG